This 856-nucleotide ribosomal RNA is filed under the name Pratylenchus thornei. Its description in RNAcentral is "SSU rRNA". It matches the Rfam family "Eukaryotic small subunit ribosomal RNA", at positions 41 to 904 of the family's 1831-position model. The record is from RNAcentral. Lineage: Eukaryota; Metazoa; Nematoda; Chromadorea; Rhabditida; Pratylenchidae.
AGAUUAAGCCAUGCAUGUAUAAGUAUAAACGCUUUAAGCGUGAAACUGCGUACGGCUCAUUACAACAGCAAUAAUUUACUUGAUCUUGACAACCUACAUGGAUAACUGUGGUAAUUCUAGAGCUAAUACAUGCACCAAAGCUCCGACCCGCGAGGGGAGAGCGCAUUUAUUAGAACAAAACCAAGCGGCUUCGGCCGUCCAUUGUUGACUCAGAAUAACUAAGCUGAUCGUACGGUCUUGUACCGACGACGUGUCUUUCAAGUUUCUGCCUUAUCAACUUUCGAUGGUAGUGUAUCUGACUACUAUGAUGGUGACGGGUAACGGAGGAUAAGGGUUCGACUCCGGAGAAGGGGCCUGAGAAAUGGCCACUACGUCUAAGGAUGGCAGCAGGCGCGCAAAUUACCCACUCUCAAUGCGAGGAGGUAGUGACGAGAAAUAACGAGGCCGUUCUCUUUGAGGCCGGUCAUCGGAAUGGGUACAAUUUAAACCCUUUAACGAGUAUCUAUGAGAGGGCAAGUCUGGUGCCAGCAGCCGCGGUAAUUCCAGCUCUCAAAAUGCAUAGAAUUAUUGCUGCGGUUAAAAAGCUCGUAGUUGGAUCUGUGCCUGUGCUCCGGUCCACCUCGCGGUGCGCACUGGGUGUCACAGGCUUUCCUGCAGUGUUCAGCCCCGGCGCCUUCACCGGCACCGGUGUGUUGAUGCUGCAAGUUUACUUUGAACAAAUCGGAGUGCUCCAAACAGGCGUUUGCUUGAACGUUCGUGCAUGGAAUAAUAGAAGAGGAUUUCGGUUCAAUUUUAUUGGUUUUAUUGGCCGAGAUAAUGGUUAACAGAGACAAACGGGGGCAUUUGUAUUGCUGCG